This 213-nucleotide long non-coding RNA is filed under the name Lathyrus oleraceus (garden pea). RNAcentral describes it as "Pisum sativum (pea) long non-coding RNA (PSAT_LNC004306)". The record is from RNAcentral. Lineage: Eukaryota; Viridiplantae; Streptophyta; Magnoliopsida; Fabales; Fabaceae.
GGAGUUUUUUCCUGCCUUGCCCUACUAUUGAAACUUUUUAUCCAAUAUACCCCGGUCUAAAAAUUAUUUCCCAAUCUACCCCCUUUUUCAGUUAGGGCUCGUCACUUGAAGUGACGAGGGGAUCGUCACUUGAAGUGACGAGGGGAUGAAUAAUGAUUUUACGCAUUGUGGGCUCGUCACUUGAAGUGACGAGGACAUGAAGGAAUGAUUUUU